RNA transcript from Vespa crabro (European hornet), 11451 nucleotides. It is a transcript of the gene named ankyrin repeat and SAM domain-containing protein 1A-like, with no coding region annotated. The transcript has 21 exons. NCBI's taxonomy places the organism in Eukaryota, Metazoa, Arthropoda, Insecta, Hymenoptera, Vespidae. The record is from RefSeq and is a predicted model, not a curated record.
CGUAAGAAGGCGCCUCAGUCGCUUCGGCAAGAUGGCCACGCUGGAUCAAUGAAACGCGAGUAAUCGUAGUAAAAACAGAAAUUGACAAGUGCGCGGUCGAAUAUCGAGGGCUGAUUACGGUGUAAAUGGAACAUGGGGAAGGACCAGGAGCUGCUCGAGGCAGCGAGAAGCGGAAACGUCACUGUGGUCGAGAAGAUACUCGGACAAAGAGCGAAGAGGAGUGGUCCACUGGCAAGUUUACGACGAGGUCCGGGUGCUAACGUGCAAGAUGCCAGUGGAUAUACAGCCCUUCAUCAUGCAGCUCUCAAUGGUCAUCGUGAAGUAGUCAAGUUAUUGCUCCAAUAUGAGGCUUCUACCAACGUCGUAGAUGCUAAAGGAUCUUCGCCACUUCAUUUGGCAGCUUGGGCAGGUGAUGCUGAAAUUGUGCGGUUAAUUCUUAGCCAAGGGCCCUCGGUACCUAAAGUCAAUCUAGCGACAAAGGACAACGAGACGGCCUUGCAUUGUGCUGCACAAUAUGGACACACGGAAAUAGUGGCGCAGCUGUUGCAGUACGGAUGCGACCCGAGUAUCCGCAACAGCCGCGGAGAAUCUGCUCUCGACCUCGCCGCACAAUAUGGCAGAUUGGAAACAGUGGAGCUACUAGUACGAACCCAUCCAGAGUUGAUUGAAUCUCUACGUAGUUCUUCUUCGUCUUUGAUCUUCCCACAUACUCCAUUGCAUUUAGCAUCACGUAAUGGACAUAGAGCCGUCGUGGAAGUUCUACUCGCUGCGGGAGUGGAUGUCAACACAAGAACGUCCGCUGGUACAGCGAUGCACGAGGCGGCACUUUGCGGUAAGAUGGAGGUUGUCCGAGCACUUUUGGACAGAGGCGUGGAUCUGGGAAUCAGGGAUUCUCGUCAAAACACCGUUUUAGACCUUUUGGGACAAUUUCCGCCACACGUCACCCAAGAUAUUACGGCUGUAAUAAAGAGGCACAGGUCUUCUUCCGGAGUGGAAAGCGAUGCCGACAGUGAGAACUUGCCACCGAUUCCGGUUCAGGGUGGUGACUCGUUGGGUAGCCCUUAUGAGAAUGUACGCCCUGGGGAUGAUCUUUCUCCGGCGGAAGGGACGUCGCCCACUCAAUGGCAGUUCUAUCAUAAGCCUCGGGAUGAUGAUCGCCGUGUCUCCGGAACUUCCGUUAUGUCUUUCGAAGACGGGCAGAAUAGGGGACCAGUGAAUGGAGUACGGAGGACUAUCCCGCAGACAGAGGAUUACUCCGACCUCAGCUCAGUCUUCGACAGCGUUCUCAUGUCCAUGUCUGACACUCUCAACUCCAUAAAUACUCUUGAAAGUUCCGACCAAACACCGGAAGACAAAGUACAAAACACUAUCACCUCUAGAACACCGUUACAACCACGUGACACGACAGGGGGUUCGGAUAGCGGAUUGUAUCAAACGCCACCUGUACCAAGAGGAACUAUGGAGGGUAGCUUCGUGUCGGAGGAUCUGUCCUUGACAUUGCCCACGGGAUAUGGUGGUAACAGGGAGUCCGAUCAAUUGAGCGUCUCCUCGUCAUCUAGCGUUGGUGGACCGAGUCCACGGGAACGACGUUGUUUGGCCAACGAUUCCGGUGCCCCUGGGAUUUACUUACCAAUGGCGCCCCUGUCCAGCUCACUUCAUAGCCCUGCCUCUAACAGCAAAGUUUCCCCGACACCGCCGAAGAAACCACCGAGGCGUAACCUAUCGGUUUCGCCGACGCACCUGCAGACUCAAAUGUCACUUUCGGCGGACUGUUCGUUGGGUCCGAGUAACUACGAGUACUUGUUCUUAGCGCGUAGCGGUGCGCGUAGUCACAUCGAUCUUGAACAGCUGCAAAAACGUCGUGAGCAGUUACGACACGUGACGAGAAGCGUGGACCAGUACGUGGAAAUGAAAUCUCGUUUCGUGCCGUCCGUGGAAAGUGGCAAUCGACGAGAGGCAAUGCCAAUAACGACAAUAACAACAACAACAACAACAGCGAACACCAAUGUAGAACCAAUUGCAAUAACAUCUAUUUACGAGAAUCGCCCGAUAAAGAUGUUAAAUCCACGAAGGAAACUUCGUAGGCACGCUUACGAAGGCUAUGAGCUUGAUAACAACGGCCCUUGCGUCGAUAAGUCGCCCUGUAGCGAGAACGAUUCUAUACAUCAGGAACAAACCUUCGUCUCUAACGCCUUCCUUACUUUGAAGUCUUCCCAAGAAAGCUUGCUAGACGAAAAACGAGAGAUUCCUGAUGGUGGUCAUACAAUGAUGGUUCAGGAUAACAGAGAGGCAACAGAUAAAAGACUCAGACGUGUACAAAUGAUGUUUCCUACGAGUCCAACUCAUUACGUUCAACCACCGACUCCCGAUCAUCCACCACCUUCUGCCAUGCAAGCUGAGAAAUCGAUUCACGAACGUAUUCGUCCGUUGAGCCAGGUUUAUAAAAGAAGAUCUCGCGACAUGGAAACGGAAACUGAUGAGGAUUUGCUACAAUUUCCUGCAAGCGGUUCUCUCGAUGCAUCCAGCGGUUCUUUAUCGAGCGUUUCUCUUUCGGACAAGAGCAUGUCUACCGACAACGUUGAGGAAUACUUCGGAGACGUGCCCUUCGCAGGUUUGUUAAAGGGCUCCGUCACAGCGGAGCGGCCGCGUACAUUGCGCCGUUUGCGGAACGUUUACGGACAGUCCGCAUGCGGAAUGGGAACCGGCGGGGAGGGUGGCGGUGGUGGAGAACGUCUUGAAGACGACGAAGUGAAUUUUCGAUUAUCUGAUAGGGAUCGUGAAAGAGAUGAAAAAUCACUUAGCAUAAUGAGUCCGUUUGAUGAGCAAGAAGAAUGGGCAAAAAUUUCUGAGAUUAUGGCAUCCUUUGGCACAGGACUCGUACGAGAAUCGGUUUUCGUCACUGAACUCGAAAAAGAAUUCCAAACAAGAUUAGGCUUAAGUUCCGAUACCAGUAGCAGUCCUAUUGUUUCCACGUCAGUCGGUCAAUGGUUAGCGAGUUUAGGACUCGCUGAUUAUGAAUCCCUUUUCAUAAACUAUGGUUUCGAUGAUCUUGAAUUUAUAAACGGAGUUCUUGAUGAAUCCGAUUUGAGAGACAUGGGAAUCAAUAGUGAUCAAGAACGUGCGAUAAUCAUGGACGCUGCCGGCUUGUUGAAUAAACGUGUGGAGAAGCAUCUUGGUAGUCACUGUCAGAGCGUGGACGAAUGGUUGAAAAGCAUUCACAUGGAGAAUUAUAUGGAGACCUUCAGAAAACAUCUUUACACCGACAUGGAACGCGUGAGUCGUAUCUGGGAAGUCGAGUUGGCUGCAGUAUUAGAGAUUCAAAAGUCUGCACAUCGAAAGCGAAUCCUGGCUUCGGUCAGUGGACCGAAUCCUCGAGCUCAGACGCGGAACGGUACUGGCCCUAACCUCGAGGAUCUCAAUAAGGAUUUGAACACCUUAUUUCGUCGUUGUUGGUCUCUGCAGAAAACGAAUAUACAACAGCUGAAGGAGGAAAUACGAGAGAAAUUGCCGGAAACAACAGGGGAGAGUAACGGGAGUGUCUCGGUAACCGUAACAAAUUCGAUGAACACUGGUACACUGAGGCAUCGCAAAAACAGACCAGCUCCACAACCACCUCAACGACCCAGUUCGCACAACGGUGCGAUCACUGCUCCUGAACAGCUCGAGAUCAGAGCACCUUCGGAAUUAUUAUUUGGUGUACCAUCUACUUUAAAGACGCAAUGGAGGCAUCAACCCAAGGCUCUAGUCACUGGCUGCGUCAACUAUGUUGCCAACUACCUGGGCUCCACCGUCGUGAAAGAAUUAAGAGGUACAGAGUCGACCAAGAAAUCUAUUCAAAAACUCAAGAAGACUUGUCGUGACACCAGAGUCACGCCUGAUAUAACCCUUGCCAUCUCUUAUCGGGGCGUACGGUUUUUGAAUACAUUGACCAAUGAGCCAAUCUGUGAACAUGAGAUACGCAAUAUUCACUGUGCUUGUCAAGAUGCCGACGAUCUUACACAUUUUGCCUACAUCACCAAGGAUCAUGCGAGUCGCACACAUUUCUGUCACGUAUUCUGCGUGCCAACUAUGGACCAAGCAACCGAAGUUAUCCUAACGCUGGGCCAAGCAUUCGAGGUAGCUUAUCAGAUGGCAUUGAGGGACAAGUUGGGGGGACACGCCGUACGUUCUCAAUCGGCCAAUCAGUUAGUUUCGCUUUCGAGCUCGACUAAAUCCAGUGGAAUAAUGGCAAAGACAUCCUCUCCUGAGUCAACUAUUGAACACAUCCGAGAGAGCGAUCAUGAGGUCACUGCAACCAUUCCAAGUAUGUACAUUCUGGAAGGAUAUCAUCGUGUACUUUUCAACUGCCUUCAAAGUUAUGUACAUACAUGGAGCUUCGAAAAUACGCGAAGGCCAAGCCGAGCAUGGAACGGUCCGACACAAAAGAACGCCGUAAGAAAAGGAAAAGCACGAGUCACGCCGUCGGAAAAUAACGUCCCUGUUGUUGACACGUUCUUCGACAUUAGAACUGAGUUUCCAACGUGUCGCGUGGAUGGCCAUCAAUUUUCUCCUAAGUGAGCCUAAUUCCAUUCCAUGGUUUUACGUCAUUGACAUAUGCCGCUCCGUUGAAGCAUAGAGAUGAUUGCUUAGGAACGCGGAAAAUAUUACGAUGUACUAUGAUGUACUAUGAUGACAAGUAGCUUUUUGAGGAAAGUUGACUCAGGCUCUGAUCGAGUGCCAGUCGUAAGAGAUUCAUCGAUGAAGGAGCAAGUUUUGCGGGACGAGAGGAUCUUUUCUAAGCCGAGGAUAUCGCAGGGAUCGUUUCGAAGGGGGUGAAGUCUCGAAGAAGAAAGAAUUCCACCAUCUGUUUCUCUUAUCCUUUUUCUCAUCCGCCUUAUCGCCAUUAUCGUUAUUUUUCUCCCCUUUUACGUUUUCGCUUUUAUAUCGUCUGUAUUUUGAAACCAUACGGUCAUUUCGUUAUAUGAAAUCAUAUCUAUUACUUUAACGUUUAGUUUACGUAUUUAUUUAUCAUUUCUAAGAGAAACUUUUGUUAUCUUUAAAAUUUUUUUUGUAUCAUAUUUACGUUUUGUCGUCUUUCAACAUUCUUUCUAUUUGAGGAUCAUUAAUAUUUAUGGUAGAAGUCAGAUGCACGUAUUUUGUUGCAUUAAAAAUUUCAUUGAUAAAACCAAUAUUGAGUGAUUAAUCUCGAUUUACGAAAAAUAAUUAAAUUAAACGAUUCCGACGUCACUUUUUAAAACGAAUUUCAAUUCGUUGGAAAUAAAACGGCUACUGGGGAGGUUAUAAUGAACGCUCGAAAAGUCGAACGAGCGAAUAGAAGCAAUUAAUAAAACUUCAACGUGCGAGUAAUUAAUCAGCCUCAUUAGGCAGAAACUAUGCUAUGAGUGACGAUACAACGACACAACUGUACACGACGUAAUACAACUCUCUUUUCCUCUUUCAAUCUGUCUCUCUUUCUCUCUCUCUCUCUCUCUUUCUCUCUCUCUUUUUCCUUUCUGUCUAUCUUUUUAUGUUUUAUAUUCAAAACCAUAUUACGCUCCCUAUCGAAUAUUGUUUCGUUGGAUGGAUUCAUGAAAAUCGAGUAAACUUAAAUGAUCCAACUAUACAAAUUUCGAGAAAUUAUAUGUUUGCUUUGUCACAAAUACGACGUAUAGAUUUAAACGAGUCUCCGGAGAAUAGAGAAAAUGUAUGGCUCGAUAUAUCCGAUUAAAAAAUCGGAUAAUCGAUUAGAUGGACUCGAUUGAAUCUGUAAAUAUUUUCAAUAAAGAAAUAUUCCGCGUAAAACCACGAGCGAUAUAUAAAACUCAUCAUUCGUAAUAAACUUUUCAAUCCCCCGUACGCUCAUAGUAAGAAAAAAGUAUAUAAAACAUUAAAGCUCAAACGUAGUACGAAGUAUAAUUACGUUCUAUACGUUGCGUUACAUAAUUAUAAAGUAAGUAUACAAUUAUUUGGUAAGAUAGAGGUAAAACAUGUUUUAACAUUUGCAUUUCACAAUUACCGAUUUUUUGUAAUUGCAGCAAACAUAAGUAACUGAAUGUUCAUGAACUAUAAUGCACUAAUGAUUCCUUUAUUUAGUAUUAAUGAUUCCUUAUUAAGUAUACUUCCUCAUAAGGGAAUCUUCAUUAUUUACUUGUAGAAAAUAUCAUCUGUUAUCAUCAUUGUUUUAUUCAAAGAAACCAAAUUUAAUUGUUGAGUUUUCAAGUUUACCUUGAUGAAGAACCUCAUGAUUAGAAUACUUAAACAGUAUUUUUUAAAUUUUGGAUAUAAUCUAAAAAAAAAAAAAUCAAAACAAUUCUUCGAGAUAAGGAGAAAUAAUAACGUUAUAUUGUUUGAAUAGAAUUUCUAUUGAUUUCGAUUAAAUAUAUGUAUAUGAUUCUUGAAGAAGACUUUCAAGAUCAAAAUAUCAGAUGGAAGGUGAUUGACGAGAUAAAUGAAAAGAUCGAAAGACAAUCGUAAACGUUGUAAAGGAGAUCAGCGAUGCAUUCUGGGUCCAGUGAUGGUUAAGGCUGAUGGUGAGAAGGUAGCUUCGACCGAGUGAUUCUCCGCGCCGGCAACCGGAGAGACCUUUUUCUCUCCGCGCGCGUGCACGAGCGGCAGGCGCGCGUGUAAGAGCACCCGCUGCCUGGUUGGCGCGCGUUCGUUCGUCUGAUGCUUAAUACCGGUUUCACGGCUUGAUAAGCCGAAGCGUGUAAUUUUGCACCGGCUCCGGAGUCGGAUAAGCACCAGGUUUUCUAGUUAAGUGGACCACAAAAUUCGGGGAAGCCUAUAUAAGGCUUUUCGAGGAAGAAGGCGAUCAGUCGAGCCACGGAGCUCACCGUCGCAGCAUCGUCCUCGAGCAUAUCGGAUCUUUUGCCCUUAUUUUUUCUAUCCAUCUCUUUUUCUUCUUCUUUUUAUUCUUCCUCAAUAUAUUCUUCCUGAACACCCUUUGACUCUGGUGAAAAUAGUUCGACGAAUGGAAAAGGAACUAACACAUCAUUGCUUAGAUAUUUAGUUAACAAACUUUUUCUAAUCAUUUCAGCAUGUUUUUCCCUAGAGAUCUUUUAGUGAUUUUUUUGUAUGAAUUUAUAUUCAUUCGAUAUAUUCAAUACAUUUACGUUCGAUCAUCGUCUCGAUCGCCGUAGUAUUAUUCGAAGAAUUUGAGUUACGAUGAAAACACAUUGUCGUACUUACAUGUUCAGUUAGUACAAAAGUUAUUACGAAAUUCUGUACUUUGAGCGAUAUUUCUGAGCAAACUUUCGCGAAUGUCGAAGGUAAAUCUUUAAUUAGAACGCGAUGAAAGUUAGCGUGUUCGUGAAAAGAAAAAGAAUGUUAUUUCAAAUUUGAUUUGCCAUUCUAUGUUUAACGAAAUUUUUCGUAUAUUUUUUUAACGAAAAAAUUGUAAUUUAAUAAGGCGUACUGGAAAAAAAUUGAUUAAGAUUUUUAAAAGCUUAUCAAACAAUUUCAUUUCUUCUUUUUAUGUACGAGUGAUGAAUUAUCGAAAAUUUUAUGAAAAUGAAAUGUAAAAAGAGCGACGAAAUAAAACGAGGAAGAGAAAUCGAAAAAUCGUGGAUCAAGAGGACUCGGAGCUAACGGGGGACUCGGAGGACGUAAAAGGGAUCCUGAAAUUCGGCGAAGAGUGUAACAUGCGAAAGAGAAAAAUCGGAUAUUCGGUCGUCAAGUAGUCGACAAUGUUGAAGAAGAAGAAGACGAAGAGUAAGAGGAAAAAGAGGAGUAGGAAGAGGAGGAGGUCGAGUGACGUUGACGUUAUUCGGCAUGAAGCGACGUACGUCGGGUAAGCGCGAGAAUGCAAGCCAGGUGGUUUGAAGGCUCUUCAGGUCAAACGAGUGGAGCUGCUGGUGUAGAGGAUGGGACGGAAAGAAGAAAAGGGUGGCUGGAAGGAGGGAAAUGCGGGAGGGGGACGAUAGAGUAGAUAGACGAAUGGAAUGAGGAAAAGAAGAAGAAGGAGAAGGAGAUGAAGGAGGAGAAGGAAGAGGAGAAGGAAGAGGAGAAGGAAGAGGAGAAGUAAAAGAAAGAGGAGGGGAUGGAAGAGGAAAGAGAAUGUAGACAGGAAGGAUGUUCGUCAAGUGCCAUCGACUUAACUUGUACCAUGGCAGAACGAGCACGAGUCCAUGUGCUCCUCCAAGGUUGAAGAGUAAGAGAGAUGAGAGAGAGAGAGAGAGAGAGAGAGAGAGAGAGAGAGAGAGAGAGAGGGAGAGAGGAAGACCGAAGCAUGCCGGCAUAAUAAGCUUUGUGCGCGACUGUCGAGAGAAUCCUCUCUCGCGGAGAGCUGAAGAGCUGCCGAGAAGUAGAAGAGCUGUAGUUGCGGUAGCAAUAGCAGCAGCAACGGCAGCAAUGGGCGAACGGCUCAGCCUUUGCCCUCUGACUCCCACCGGAUGAGGAGGAAGAAGAGAAAUAAGAGAAGCCAAAAGAAAAGUCGACCAUCCGUCGAAUACGAAAGAUGCGAAUCCGUUUCGUCUUUUCUGCUCCAAUCUUACCUUUCUCCUUUUACUUCCUUCUUUAUUUUUAAUUACGAAUUACUCCCAAAAAAAAAAAUUGAGGAGCUAAUUACCUUGGAUGGUUUAAUCGGUCCGACCUAGAAUUUUUGUUUCUUUUGCGUAGAAAAAGUAAAAAAGGUAAUGAUAGUAGAAAGCCCGUUGACUUAAAUACGUCAUCUACAUUCGCGACACUUCGUUUAUGUUUUAGUCGGAAUCGGGUUAUGUGGUUGAAGAAAGAUUAUUAUAGUUCUUUUGAAGAAAAAUUUAUUUUUAACGUUCGAACGACAAUUGAGGACUCUAGUAAAAUCGACUUUGGUUGACUUUGGCCGUGAAUACGUGUCUAUAGAGUAUAUACUGAACAGGGCUGUAAGUGGGUUAAAGGCACUAGUUGUGUAGAGGGUAAAGUGCAUAGUUUGCUUGCGCUCGAAAACAACGGAGAGUGGAUCGCCUAACGAAGUGUAUUUGCUGCGAGCCCACGGGAACGAAAUAUGGGGAGCGAGCGGGAGCCAAAGGAAAACGUAAUCCGGGAUAAGUCGUUAACAGUUGACUCAUUCUCCUCUUCGAGCUAAAGGAUAUCUAGACACUCCGAGCCCUCACUCGUUUGUUCCCAGAGCGGCCUUUCGUUCGUAACGAAACAAAGGAUGCGCGCGCGAAUUUCCAGCAGUUUAUACGUAUAUGUAUAUACGUUAUAUGUUUAUAUACAUAUAUAUAUUUAUAUAUAUACAUAUAUAUACAUAUAUAUAUGUACAUAUAUAUGUGUGUGUAUCAUAUAUUUGCAUUUUGCGUAAACAUGCCGACAAAUAGUUACAGAUGAAUAUUUCACUCGAGAAAUAAUGGGAACUCUCGUUCUGCUUAUAAAACAAACCGCGCGAGACUAGUAUAAUAAUCCUAUCUCGAUCUCAGCUCAUAACAAUUCCAGUUUAUCUCUUCGUAUUGGUCUUAUUACUAUGUGGUUUAAAGAAGAUCGUUAUCGUCUACGGAUUUACGCGUUUGUUAAGAUCGAUUAACCUUUUGAUUGAGAGCCGUUCUAAGCUGAAGUGCUUCAUGUAAGCAAUAUGCGGCCCGUGGAUGCGAUUGCUAGGGACAUACAAAUGAGACAAUAGUAAACAACCAAAACCUUAGCUGGGCGCAUAUAUGCAUCCAUAGCAGUUAAAGGAUUAAAGAAAACAGAAAAAAGAAAGUAAUAAAAAAGAUAUGGAAUAAUAUUGGAACUGGAACGAUGAAUUCGUCAGUGCAUACGAUUAAUGUGUAUUCCUUUCGAAAAAGAUACGAUUACUUGUUAUUUAUAAUACGAAUAUUCUCUUGAAACAACGUGUAAAUUGACGCGAAAAACUGAAUUCAAAAUUAAAAAGAGCCGAAAUUAGAUUUGUGCAAAACGAAGUAUCCUAACGAAUAAAGGCAUGCUGGAUGCAUAGUAAAAUGAGAAGAACGACAAAGACGAAAGAAAAAAAUGGAUAGAAUUUUCACACUAAUUUAGCAUAUAUCGAUUAAAAGCAUUGUUGAAUAUUAUUUACUAGAUUUUCACUGUAUCCGAUGAUCGUACGUAAUAUAAUUUUUCCUUUUUCUCUCUUUCUCUCUUAGAUUCUUUCGUUUCUUUCUAGCGUUUCUCUUUGGCUCAAUUCGACAAAGAACAGUCGAACCUGUGGAAAUCCUGUCUCCGGUCUGUACGGUUAGUCCGUAGUAAGAGCGAGUGAGAGAACGGAAGAGAAAGAGAGGGAGAAUGAGGGAGGGGUAGAAGCAUGGGUACACGAACGAGGUGGUUCGAAAAGGGGUAGGAAGGAAGAGGGAUGGAGCACUCGUUGAUUUCCCGUUUUCAUAUUCAAUAUGAUCUGUCUCGGCAUUGUAUUCAUUGAAAACGAGUCAACCGCAUGCAAGAUCAGGAACCGGGCGCCAGAAACGAGAGUGGAUCAUGGAAGCUCUCGGUCUCUUUCUCUCUCUCUCUCUCUCCCUCUCUCUCUUUCCUUCCCUCUUACCCAUUCGCUCUCUCUCUCUCUCUCUCUCUCUCUCUCUCUCCUUUCAACGUUGGCAAUGAUGGUGAUGCUAGUGGUAGUGCCGCCACUGACGACGACGGUGUUGGUAAUGGUGGAUAGGUCGUUGCGGUGGUUGGAUGGAUGGUUAGUUGGUAGGUAGGUUGGUUGGCUGGCUGGUUCUCUACUCCAACUAAUGAAAGGAGACUCGUAGUAGGGUCCGUAGGUUGCUUGCUUGGCUGAGGUUUAAAGUCGAUGUGUCCUCUUCACGGUGGAUCAUGGCGAGAGCACGAACGAGAGAAGAGGUUGGGCAAAGUAGUGCAGGAACCGAAAUGAGAGCGAGAAAGACCUGGAGAUGGAGAUGGAUGUUUCGAGGAAGAAUCUCCCUACAUCUCACUCGCGUAGAUAUCUUUUGAGAUUCGCACAAGAUUUCUGGAUGGGUGGAGUUCGCAAUGUGGGCUCGUGUAUUUAGAAAGUCGAAACUGAGUUCGGAAUUCUCGUAUCUUUACAACAAAGUUUACUUUAAUAAUAAUUGAUGAAGAUCGUUGAAUUAUUAACAUGUAUGGAAAAUAUAAUGAUUAUUUUUAUAAAUAAAUGUAAAAGGUAAAAUUCAAUUAUUCGAGAAAUAAAUUUAAUAAUAAUAUAAAUGACUAAAAAGGAGGACGUGACGUGAGACUUGCAAAUAUCGAUUGCGAUAUUUUAAAUCGAUAAUUUGAUCUUUUACUUUAUGAAAAGCAAGUACUAACAAUAUUAAAAAGAUUUAAAAAGAUAAAUUUAAAUGAUUUAUUUAUAAUUGGUUUAAUACUGUUCUGAAUUUUUCUGACCAGUAAAAAUAAACAUGGUUAAUAAAACAUCGUUCGGUAUAUUGUCAUUAAAGAAGUAAUUUAGGUAAUGAAUAGUAAUAUUUUUAAGUUUGUUAAUUCAAACGAGUUGCUUUAGAUGUUUCACUCUUAUCAAAUUAAAAGUCUAGCAGGAUCUCUUGUAAAAAAGGAGGAUAUUGCAAAAUCAUACAA